CAGGGGAUCGAAAGACCUUGCGCUUUUAGAGCGGCCGAUGCCUGAUUAGCUUGUUGGUGAGGUAAAAGCUUACCAAGGCUCCGAUCAGUAGCUGGUCUGAGAGGACGACCAGCCACACUGGGACUGAGACACGGCCCAGACUCCUACGGGAGGCAGCAGUGGGGAAUUUUGGACAAUGGGGGCAACCCUGAUCCAGCCAUGCCGCGUGAGUGAAGAAGGCCUUCGGGUUGUAAAGCUCUUUCAGCCGGAACGAAACGGUUACGGUUAAUACCCGUGACUACUGACGGUACCGGAAGAAGAAGCACCGGCUAACUACGUGCCAGCAGCCGCGGUAAUACGUAGGGUGCGAGCGUUAAUCGGAAUUACUGGGCGUAAAGCGUGCGCAGGUGGUUUUGUAAGUCAGAUGUGAAAUCCCCGGGCUUAACCUGGGAACUGCGUUUGAAACUACAAGACUAGAGUGUGGCAGAGGGGGGUGGAAUUCCGCGUGUAGCAGUGAAAUGCGUAGAGAUGUGGAGGAACACCAAUGGCGAAGGCAGCCCCCUGGGUCAACACUGACACUCAGGCACGAAAGCAUGGGGAGCAAACAGGAUUAGAUACCCUGGUAGUCCAUGCCCUAAACGAUGUCAACUGGUUGUCGGGCCUUAACGGGCUUGGUAACGUAGCUAACGCGUGAAGUUGACCGCCUGGGGAGUACGAUCGCAAGAUUAAAACUCAAAGGAAUUGACGGGGACCCGCACAAGCGGUGGAUUAUGUGGAUUAAUUCGAUGCAACGCGAAAAACCUUACCUACCCUUGACAUGUAUCGAAACCCGCAGAGAAGUGGGUGUGCCUGAAAGGGAACGAUAACACAGGUGCUGCAUGGCUGUCGUCAGCUCGUGUCGUGAGAUGUUGGGUUAAGUCCCGCAACGAGCGCAACCCUUGUCAUUAAUUGCC
This 932-nucleotide ribosomal RNA is filed under the name uncultured bacterium. Its description in RNAcentral is "bacterial SSU rRNA". It matches the Rfam family "Bacterial small subunit ribosomal RNA", at positions 193 to 1119 of the family's 1533-position model. The record is from RNAcentral.